Molecule: transfer RNA, 50 nt
Filed under: Amolops panhai
Lineage: Eukaryota; Metazoa; Chordata; Amphibia; Anura; Ranidae
Description: partial tRNA-Val
Source: RNAcentral
GCACCCUGCUUACACCAGAUUUAUGUUUGUUUAACCCAAACUGUUUUGAG